UAAGCCACACCGUACUCGGUAUAUUUCUCAUGCUCGAUUACUCCCUAAUUGCGGCAAGCAAAGAAACCCACAAUUUGUUUCAGGGAAGGUUGACAUUAACGGUGCCCUCUUUCACUUCCGGCAACCCAAGUUUCAUAAGUACCAGGUUGUAGAAAAAGCUCUCGCUACCGAAACUCAGGACCACCAACGAGUUCGGAUCUAGGUCCAAGUUUUGGUUCCUAUAGAAUUUUUGGGCAGAUAGUGAUGGAUAAAGAAUGGAUGCACAUCUAUAACAUGUUUUUAUAUAUAGUAGAUUGUGAAAUGAAAAAAAAAAAAAACCUAAGGCGCCCGACUCUAUAACAAGAGUUGAUGUAUGGAUUGAAGGUCACCUGAGGAAGAGUGGGGAACCUUUGAAUGAUGCAAUAGGACGAGCAGUGGUAGUAUAUCUUUCCUACUUAUUUUAUUAUUAUUUUUUUGUAUUCCAUUUACAAACAUACUUAACUCAUGGAAUUUCAUAAACAAAUGAAAGAGUACACUAAAACCCAACCCAAAGGCACAAGCUCUCUUCGAGAUGAUGGAGUCACUCAUGUACUUGGUUCAGAACAUUGAGGGCGGGUUAGAGGCCUUGGUUUUGGAGCAACAAUUUCUAAACUUGAGGCAAAUGGAUAUAAGAUGGUGCAAGCAAAAAGAGUGGAUGAAAUAUUUCAAGAAAGAGUGGAAUAAAUCAAAUCUGAAAUGAAGAGUGAGAUGAGAGCUGAGCUGAUGAAUGAGAUUUAAAGGUUACCAAUGUAAGCUGUUACACUAGAAUGGACAAGGUGUAGUUGGUGCCAAUGCUGAGAUUGCAUCAACGGAUCUGAAUGCGUUAUCAGAUGAUCAUGUUCCAAUUGGUCCAGAUUGUUGGAAAGUUUGGGCUGAUGAUGUCAUUGCCAGGGAUUGUCCUUUUUACCGAGCAACCCUAGCUGGAAGGUGUUGUCUUUGUGAUGCUCAACAAGCACAGUUGUAUGGCCUAGCAAAUAUGUGAAAAUUGUAGAGGAUCCGGUAUCUCCAAUUCGCUAGGAGAACUAUUAGAAUCUCAAUGAUUCUAGUCUAUACAACAUGACAACUUUGCCCUAGACUAAUUAUAGGUGAGGUGAAAUUUAUAAAUGAUAUAAUAUAUAUAUAUGCCAUCCAAUAUUGUGUAAUCUUUAAGGAUCUUCCAUUGAAUCAGAACUUAGUUAUACAUGUGCAAUUUGGAUAUGGACAAUAUCUGUGAUUUGAUAACUUUGUUAUGCAUGUGUAAUUAUUAAUUGCUCUUUUCAACCCCCUAAGAUCGGAUAAUCAUCUACUCUCACUACACUAAAAAGAAAUAUAUGUAGCUAUUUGUAUAUUUCGAUUGUGAAAAAAUAGGUAGUAGUUGAAGAAGGUAUCAAAAUUAUUCACGUCAAAGUUUACUUCAGUGUAUAAGAUCAGCAUGAGUUCUGCCUUUUUAUCUAGAAGUUUGUUGCUUUCUGCCAUAGUAACUUCAUGUUAUAUCUUCAUCCUGAAAAAAAAAAAAUUAAAGAAAUAUUGCAAAUGGGAUUUGCCUUUUUGUGUUUCUGCUUAAAUUUCAAAGUAGCAUUUCUUGUAUUGUUGCAAUCUACACUGCAGUGAGCUCUUCUUCUUGUACCAAUAUCUUCUCUAUCUAGUUAAGGCGUUCUCAUUUAUCUUUGUUUGAAUAUGUACUAUAAAUAUAGUUUUGCAAAUGAGUAGAGUCCAAUAGACAAUUACAUUAAUCAAAUGAAUGAGUUAAACUUUGAGAAAUCUACUUACGUGACCUAGCUGAUCGAUCAUAUGAUUAAUGUAAAUCCCAAUAAAGUGGCUUUAGAUAUGUAAUUAUACAUUUUAAUGACACUGAAAACAGUGAAUUCAUGAUCCCGUUUAGGGUUUGGUCUCGGUAUAUAUUAACAAAUUGGACAAGGAUUUUUAACUCUAUUUUCCCUUUCUAUAAGGUUAAUUAAUCAUCCCUUUAAUUAAAUGUUUGGUACUUGUAAAACUAGCCUAUCUUGAAGUGUUACAGAACCAUCAAGUGCUACAAAGGAAGAUUUGAAUUGAUGAUGGAGUCAGAGAACCAAAAGCAUGGGCUACCUUAUCACAGACUUUAGGCACCCAAGAUAGAAAAAACCAUCAAAUUAAAGUGUUGUUUUUGUAUGGAAUCAGUCUAUAAAUAGCCGCUGCCAGAUAAUGCAUCAAAUAUUAUUGUGUAUUUGGGUUUCUGCCUUCUCGUGUGGAUCAAUCUUUUUUUUUUAACCAAAUUUGUUUAUGGCUGUAUUUUGAGAAUACUAGUAGAAAGUCAGCAUUCAAUGGCUGAUGUCUUUGAGGAUAUUACUUAAAAUUAGUCUUCAGCACCAUAUGCAGGUACAUUGUGGAGGGUGUAUGUGCUUCAAUGACAGUAGCAUCCAAACCUAAGUGAAUGGUUCUUUCAAAGUGAUCUAUACUUUUGUGUGAUAAAAUUGCUUAAUAAUCUUUAAUCCUGCUUUGUUCUUUGACAUGAUAUAUAGUUGAUGGCAAAGAGUGGUACUCUAAAUCUUCAACAUCUAUAGGGAAAAUUACACCGACCUCUCUGAGGUUUCGUCAAUAUACACUAACUUCCCCUCUUGUUUGUCAAAUUACACCAACCUCCCCUGUUAUAGAUGUCAUGUGAAUGGUGUUAACUGUUCAAGUAAAAUUACAUAUAUGUCCUCAUUAUAUUUAUUGUAUUUUAUUUACGAAAGGAUGAACAUUGAAAAGACAAAAUUAUCCAUAUGUCAAAGAGAAACAAUUUGGAAUGAGAUAUAUAUAUAUAUAUAUAUAUAUAUAUAUAUAUAUAUAUUUGUUUGAUGAGAAACAAUUUGAGAGGAGAGAAAGAGAGAGACAGAGAGAGAGGAUAUAUUUGUUUGAUUUGGUGUAUAUAUAUUUUGGGUUUGAUUGGUGACGACAACGAGGGUAUAAGAAGGCAGAAACCCAGAUUUGGUGCUGAAACUCAAACACACCAAAUAAUUAAUUGGAUUAUUUAUAAUUGGAGGUUUGGUUGUAGUAGAUCUCUCCACCUUCCAUUUAUAAUUAAUCUAAUUGCAUUUGGUUACAAAAGAAGUCUAAAACCAAGACACUUAGAAAAUUUAUUUUUCCGUGGCGUUGAUAUUAGAUGAUUCUUAUACUUUACUCUACAUAAUAAGGAACACAUGAAAUGAAGUAACUCAAUGGUGAGUUUAAAAGAGAGAGAGA
Cornus florida is the source of this 3198-nucleotide long non-coding RNA. RefSeq lists it as uncharacterized. The transcript has 5 exons. NCBI's taxonomy places the organism in Eukaryota, Viridiplantae, Streptophyta, Magnoliopsida, Cornales, Cornaceae. The record is from RefSeq and is a predicted model, not a curated record.